RNAcentral lists this ribosomal RNA (478 nucleotides) under uncultured bacterium. RNAcentral's name for it is "partial 16S ribosomal RNA". It matches the Rfam family "Bacterial small subunit ribosomal RNA", at positions 28 to 507 of the family's 1533-position model. The record is from RNAcentral.
GAUGAACGCUGGCGGCGUGCUUAACACAUGCAAGUCGAACGGGAAACCUUUUAUUGAAGCUUCGGCAGAUUUAGCUGGUUUCUAGUGGCGGACGGGUGAGUAACGCGUGGGUAACCUGCCUUAUACAGGGGGAUAACAACCAGAAAUGGUUGCUAAUACCGCAUAAGCGCACAGGACCGCAUGGUCCGGUGUGAAAAACUCCGGUGGUAUAAGAUGGACCCGCGUUGGAUUAGCUAGUUGGCAGGGUAACGGCCUACCAAGGCGACGAUCCAUAGCCGGCCUGAGAGGGUGAACGGCCACAUUGGGACUGAGACACGGCCCAGACUCCUACGGGAGGCAGCAGUGGGGAAUAUUGCACAAUGGGGGAAACCCUGAUGCAGCGACGCCGCGUGAAGGAAGAAGGAUCUCGGUAUGUAAACUUCUAUCAGCAGGGAAGAUAGUGACGGUACCUGACUAAGAAGCCCCGGCUAACUACGUG